This 440-nucleotide ribosomal RNA is filed under the name uncultured bacterium. RNAcentral's name for it is "partial 16S ribosomal RNA". It matches the Rfam family "Bacterial small subunit ribosomal RNA", at positions 338 to 795 of the family's 1533-position model. The record is from RNAcentral.
CCUACGGGCGGCAGCAGUAGGGAAUAUUGCUCAAUGGGGGAAACCCUGAAGCAGCAACGCCGCGUAGAGGAUGAAGGUUUUCGGAUUGUAAACUCCUUUUGUUAGAGAAGAUAAUGACGGUAUCUAACGAAUAAGCACCGGCUAACUCCGUGCCAGCAGCCGCGGUAAUACGGAUGGUGCAAGCGUUACUCGGAAUCACUGGGCGGAAAGAGCGCGUAGGCGGGAUAGCAAGUCAGAUGUGAAAUCCUAUGGCUUAACCAUAGAACUGCAUGUGAAACUGUUAUUCUAGAGUAUGGGAGAGGUAGGUGGAAUUCUUGGUGUAGGGGUAAAAUCCGUAGAGAUCAAGAGGAAUACUCAUUGCGAAGGCGACCUGCUAGAACAUAACUGACGCUGAUGCGCGAAAGCGUGGGGAGCAAACAGGAUUAGAUACCCCUGUAGUC